UGGGAUGUAGCUCAGUUGGUAGAGUGCUUGCCUUGCAUGCACAAGGCCCUGGAGGGUUCAAUCCCAGCACCACAA
Molecule: transfer RNA, 75 nt
Filed under: Ictidomys tridecemlineatus (thirteen-lined ground squirrel)
Lineage: Eukaryota; Metazoa; Chordata; Mammalia; Rodentia; Sciuridae
Description: Spermophilus tridecemlineatus (thirteen-lined ground squirrel) tRNA
Rfam family: tRNA
About the family: Transfer RNA (tRNA) molecules are approximately 80 nucleotides in length. Their secondary structure includes four short double-helical elements and three loops (D, anti-codon, and T loops).
Source: Rfam by way of RNAcentral